CCCACCACCAGCCCUCAGAACUGAUACAGUAAUUGUGCAUUUUGUACACGUUACACUCUCCACCCAAACCUCUCCAGUCGCUUUGAUUCCUGUUUAAUGCCUUACCUUGCCUUUGGGGCUUCUUUUACAAAGACACCUGAGAGAGACAGACCUGUGAAUCACUGCUGAGGCUAUGCAGCCUGAUGCCUGGAGGCCUCACAGAGUCGCUAAGGUCGGAACAGACCACUGCGGCCAUCUAGGCCGACUGUCAGCCCAUCCCCACCAAACCACGUGCCUGACUGCCACACUCCCACGUUUCUCUAAAGCACAUCGCGCACGGACCCAAAAGCUCUGCCCUCCAGAAUCGCCGUUCUGCCCCUACGGCCAAAUUCAGCGCUGUGCUGAGGCCUCAAACCCAGAUAUCGUGUGCUACCUCCCAAAAGCCGGGGCACCAACACCCGGAGCCACAGGUCCCCAGCUCAGCCACCUUAAGCACCGCGCUGCACGGAGCAGGGAGACCAAGUUAGCAACACAUCACGGCCCAGGGUAAUCCCCGAGGCAGCACCGAUACCAGUCGGUUUCCACACCGAAACACCACGAAAGGUACUUUUACUAAAAUAGGUUCCAUAGCGAAAAAAGCCGACGAUAAAACCAUUUUUUGGGGCUUCGGCUGAGUGUGGCAUGAGCACGUGUUUAGCUACACGGGUCACACAACAAGCACCAAGAAACGCAACCCUAAGCAGCAGCACGAUUUAGGAGAACCGUUCGCCCAGCAGCCGCUCAGGGACACGGAGCGCAGCAGAAAGGGGCGCCCGCAGGCAGUCGGCAACCUCCGACAGAGCUCCGGGACCGGUCGAGCAGCGACGGGAAAGGCUUCCGAGCGCUCGCAGCCACUCUGCGCGGCGCGGCACAACAGGAAGGAUGCAAAGCCACUGACACGUGGGGACAUGGAAAUGAAGGAGGCAUUAUUUUCAGUUCUCCGAGCUGUAAAAUGUCAUAAGCAGAACCAAAAGAGAAAUGGCCUUCUAUCAUCUAGGAAGAAUUUGUGCUGAAAUCAUGUAAUGAGAUAUCUCUCUUGAUGUACAGCUUUCAUUCAGUGGAAGAGUCAACAGCCAUGUUAAAGGC
Gallus gallus (chicken) is the source of this 1104-nucleotide long non-coding RNA. NCBI's taxonomy places the organism in Eukaryota, Metazoa, Chordata, Aves, Galliformes, Phasianidae. The record is from Ensembl.